AUUGAACGCUGGCGGCAGGCCUAACACAUGCAAGUCGAACGAGUGGCGGACGGGUGAGUAAUGUGUGGGAAACUGCCCGCUGGAGGGGGAUAACUCCUGGAAACGGUAGCUAAUACCGCAUACCAUCGGAUGUGCCCAGAUGGGAUAAGCUUGUAGGUGAGGUAAGGACUAACCUAGGCGACGAUCCCUAGCUGGUCUGAGAGGAUGAUCAGCCACAGUGGAACUGAGACACCGUCCAGACACCUACGGGAGGCAGCGGUGGGGAAGAUUGCACAAUGGGCGCAAGCCUGAUGCAGCCAUGCCGAGUGUAGGAAGAAGGACUUCGGGUUGUAAAGUACUUUCAGCGGGGAGGCGUUACCCGCAGAUGCAGCACCGGCUAACUCCGUGCCAGCAGCCGCGGUAAUAC
Molecule: ribosomal RNA, 406 nt
Filed under: uncultured bacterium
Lineage: Bacteria
Description: partial 16S ribosomal RNA
Rfam family: Bacterial small subunit ribosomal RNA
Source: RNAcentral